This 253-nucleotide ribosomal RNA is filed under the name uncultured bacterium. RNAcentral's name for it is "partial 16S ribosomal RNA". It matches the Rfam family "Bacterial small subunit ribosomal RNA", at positions 524 to 776 of the family's 1533-position model. The record is from RNAcentral.
GACAGAGGUGCCGAGCGUUAGGCGGAAUCACUGGGCUUAAAGCGUGUGUAGGCGGGCCGUUAAGUGCCCCGUGAAAUCCCCCGGCUCAACCGGGGAACGGCGGGGCAUACUGGCGGCCUUGAGCCACUUAAGGGCAGACGGAACAAGCGGUGGAGCGGUGAAAUGCGUAGAUAUCGCUUGGAACGCCGACGGCGAAAGCAGUCUGCUGGGGGUGUGCUGACGCCGAGACACGAAAGCCAGGGGAGCGAACGGG